CCGGUAGUAAGUCGAAACACCCGAAUGAAAUUCAAAUUCCGUGCCAACACUCCAUUUUUUCUUUUCCUUCUUUUCUUCAGACCCUUCUGCUUCUUCUUCUUCUCCUCGGGUGCCCCGGAAGAAACGAAGAGGACAUGAGC
Caenorhabditis elegans is the source of this 140-nucleotide non-coding RNA. NCBI's taxonomy places the organism in Eukaryota, Metazoa, Nematoda, Chromadorea, Rhabditida, Rhabditidae. The record is from Ensembl.